This 383-nucleotide ribosomal RNA is filed under the name uncultured eukaryote. RNAcentral describes it as "partial 18S ribosomal RNA". It matches the Rfam family "Eukaryotic small subunit ribosomal RNA", at positions 592 to 976 of the family's 1831-position model. The record is from RNAcentral.
CAAGAGCGUAUAUUAAAGUUGUUGCAGUUAAAAAGCUCGUAGUUGGAUUUCUGGUGGGAGCGAUCGGUCUGGCGCUUAGCGCGAGUACUUGCAUCGUCUCCGGCCAUCCUUGGGGAAAGUCUGUCUGGCAUUAAGUUGUCGGGCAGAGGAUCCUCAUCGUUUACUGUGAAAAAAUUAGAGUGUUCAAAGCAGGCUUAUGCCGUUGAAUAUAUUAGCAUGGAAUAAUAAGAUAGGACUUUGGUACUAUUUUGUUGGUUUGCGCACCAAAGUAAUGAUUAAUAGGGACAGUUGGGGGUAUUCGUAUUCCGUUGUCAGAGGUGAAAUUCUUGGAUUUACGGAAGACGAACUACUGCGAAAGCAUUUACCAAGGAUGUUUUCAUUAA